CGAACGCUGGCGGCGUGCUUAACACAUGCAAGUCGAACGGAAAGGCCCUGCUUUUGUGGGGUGCUCGAGUGGCGAACGGGUGAGUAACACGUGAGUAACCUGCCCUUGACUUUGGGAUAACUUCAGGAAACUGGGGCUAAUACCGGAUAGGAGCUCCUGCUGCAUGGUGGGGGUUGGAAAGUUUCGGCGGUUGGGGAUGGACUCGCGGCUUAUCAGCUUGUUGGUGGGGUAGUGGCUUACCAAGGCUUUGACGGGUAGCCGGCCUGAGAGGGUGACCGGCCACAUUGGGACUGAGAUACGGCCCAGACUCCUACGGGAGGCAGCAGUGGGGAAUAUUGCACAAUGGGCGGAAGCCUGAUGCAGCAACGCCGCGUGCGGGAUGACGGCCUUCGGGCUGUAAACCGCUUUCGCCUGUGACGAAGCGUGAGUGACGGUAAUGGGUAAAGAAGCACCGGCUAACUACGG
RNAcentral lists this ribosomal RNA (465 nucleotides) under uncultured bacterium. Its description in RNAcentral is "partial 16S ribosomal RNA". It matches the Rfam family "Bacterial small subunit ribosomal RNA", at positions 30 to 506 of the family's 1533-position model. The record is from RNAcentral.